AUUGAACGCUGGCGGCAUGCUUUACACAUGCAAGUCGAACGGCAGCAUGGGCUUCGGCCUGAUGGCGAGUGGCGGACGGGUGAGUAAUGCAUCGGAACGUACCCAGUCAUGGGGGAUAACUACGCGAAAGCGUGGCUAAUACCGCAUACGCCCUGAGGGGGAAAGCGGGGGAUCUUUCGGGACCUCGCGUGAUUGGAGCGGCUGAUGUCGGAUUAGCUAGUUGGUGGGGUAAAGGCUCACCAAGGCGACGAUCCGUAGCUGGUCUGAGAGGAUGAUCAGCCACACUGGGACUGAGACACGGCCCAGACUCCUACGGGAGGCAGCAGUGGGGAAUUUUGGACAAUGGGGGCAACCCUGAUCCAGCCAUGCCGCGUGAGUGAAGAAGGCCUUCGGGUUGUAAAGCUCUUUCAGUUGGGAAGAAACGGGGUUCUCUAACAUAGGGCUCUAAUGACGGUACCG
This 459-nucleotide ribosomal RNA is filed under the name uncultured bacterium. RNAcentral's name for it is "bacterial SSU rRNA". It matches the Rfam family "Bacterial small subunit ribosomal RNA", at positions 30 to 480 of the family's 1533-position model. The record is from RNAcentral.